RNAcentral lists this non-coding RNA (88 nucleotides) under Strombidinopsis acuminata. The record is from RNAcentral. Lineage: Eukaryota; Ciliophora; Spirotrichea; Choreotrichida; Strombidinopsidae.
UUUUUUUUUAAAUUAGCAAUUUUUUAAUUUUGAUAAUUUGUGUGAUAUAGAUAAAAAUGUGAGAGGCAAGUUUAAAAGGAUCCAAUUU